This 493-nucleotide long non-coding RNA is filed under the name Junco hyemalis (dark-eyed junco). Its description in RNAcentral is "lncRNA (ENSJHYG00000014879.1)". Lineage: Eukaryota; Metazoa; Chordata; Aves; Passeriformes; Passerellidae. The record is from RNAcentral.
GGCUGUUAGCCUGCCAAGAGAGCCAUGGUGAACAACAAGAAAAUCUCCAGAUGUGCAAAAGGUUUCUGUGCUACACAGUCCAUAGGAGGAAAAUAACAAAACGUUCAGAAUAAAGAAGACCUCAUUUCCACAAUGUCAUGCUGCUGGCUCCUUUUAGAGCCAUGAUAUUCAAACUCCCUCCCAUACCCUCAAGAAACAGACACAGGAGAGAUGUCUCAAACUGGAGUGUAAGGAGGAACAGAGAAAUAGAAAUUGAUGUGGACUUACCGGGCCUGCUUGAAGCCAGCUUUUGUUGCAAUCAUGAGAAAUAUAUAUUGACAUAUAUGAAGAAGACUAGAAGGGAAAUCUGUGAGCAUACAUGUGCAUCUUCAUUUUGAAAUGCAACACACAAGAGAAGAGCUGCUGCACUGCCUCAGGGAAAAAAAAAAAGAGUUUAGCUGAGCAUUGCAUGGAUCCUCUUGCUUUUUCAGGAAUAAACCCUGAGUGGUUUGCA